RNAcentral lists this ribosomal RNA (633 nucleotides) under Valsaceae sp. PSU-H2. Its description in RNAcentral is "LSU rRNA". It matches the Rfam family "Eukaryotic large subunit ribosomal RNA", at positions 138 to 774 of the family's 3401-position model. The record is from RNAcentral. Lineage: Eukaryota; Fungi; Ascomycota; Sordariomycetes; Diaporthales; Cytosporaceae.
CCGAGUUGUAAUUUGCAGAGGAUGCUUCUGGCGCGGUGCCUUCCGAGUUCCCUGGAACGGGACGCCACAGAGGGUGAGAGCCCCGUAUGGUCGGACACCAAGCCUGUGUGAAGCUCCUUCGACGAGUCGAGUAGUUUGGGAAUGCUGCUCUAAAUGGGAGGUAAAUCUCUUCUAAAGCUAAAUACCGGCCAGAGACCGAUAGCGCACAAGUAGAGUGAUCGAAAGAUGAAAAAGUAGAGUGAUCGAAAGAUGAAAAGCACCUUGAAAAGGGGGUUAAAUAGUACGUGAAAUUGUUGAAAGGGAAGCACUUGUGACCAGACUUGGGCCGGGCGGCUCAUCAGGGGUUCUCCCCUGUGCACUCCGCCCGGCACAGGCCAGCAUCGGUUCUCGUGGGGGGAUAAGACCGUCAGGAACGUAGCACCCUCCGGGGUGUGUUAUAGCCUGGCGGACGAUACCCCCGUGGGGACCGAGGUUCGCGCUCCGCAAGGAUGCUGGCGUAAUGGUCACCAGUGACCCGUCUUGAAACACGGACCAAGGAGUCGUCCAUUAGAGCGAGCGUUUGGGUGUAAAACCCGCACGCGUAAUGAAAGUGAACGCAGGUGAGAGCUUCGGCGCAUCAUCGACCGAUCCUGA